UAUCUGUCUAUAUUAAUUGAAUACACCAAAUAAAUACUUGACUCUUCAUUUGACCUUUGUAGACACAACUUGUGGCACUUGGCAGCACUCAUAAGCCUGAGAAGAGAAGAAAGCAUAAGAGAUAAUGUGGCAGGUCUACGUGCAGGAGGGACUUCAGGGAGUUGAGGUGAUUAUCCAGGGGGCUCCUGUCACCUUGUCCUGAAACCCACAAAGAAGAG
RNAcentral lists this long non-coding RNA (218 nucleotides) under Monodelphis domestica (gray short-tailed opossum). Its description in RNAcentral is "lncRNA (ENSMODG00000046628.1)". Lineage: Eukaryota; Metazoa; Chordata; Mammalia; Didelphimorphia; Didelphidae. The record is from RNAcentral.